UUCCCAGUGUAGCGGUGAAAUGCGUAGAUAUUGGGAAGAACAUCGGUGGCGAAGGCGUGCUACUGGACCGUAACUGACACUCAGGGACGAAAGCUAGGGGAGCGAAAGGGAUUAGAUACCCCUGUAGUCCUAGCUGUAAACGAUGGAAACUAGGUGUGGCUUGUAUCGACCCGAGCCGUGCCGUAGCUAACGCGUUAAGUUUCCCGCCUGGGGAGUACGCACGCAAGUGUGAAACUCAAAGGAAUUGACGGGGGCCCGCACAAGCGGUGGAGUAUGUGGUUUAAUUCGAUGCAACGCGAAGAACCUUACCAGGGCUUGACAUGUCGCGAAUCUCGGUGAAAGCUGAGAGUGCCUUCGGGAGCGCGAACACAGGUGGUGCAUGGCUGUCGUCAGCUCGUGCCGUGAGAUGUUGGGUUAAGUCCCGCAACGAGCGCAACCCUUAUUUUUAGUUGCCAGCAUUAAGAUGGGCACUCUAGAAAGACUGCCGGUGACAAACCGGAGGAAGGUGAGGACGACGUCAAGUCAGCAUGCCCCUUACGCCCUGGGCUACACACGUACUACAAUGGUUGGGACAAAGGGCAGCGACUCCGCAAGGAAUAGCGAAUCUCAUCAAACCCAGCCUCAGUUCAGAUUGCAGGCUGCAACUCGCCUGCAUGAAGGAGGAAUCGCUAGUAAUCGCAGGUCAGCAUACUGCGGUGAAUUCGUUCCCGGGCCUUGUACACACCGCCCGUCACACCAUGGAAGCUGGUCACGCCCGAAGUAGUUACCCUAACCUUUCGAGGAGGGGGAUUCCUAAGGCAGGGCUAGUGACUGGGGUGAAGUCGUAACAAGGUAACC
Molecule: ribosomal RNA, 837 nt
Filed under: uncultured marine microorganism
Description: bacterial SSU rRNA
Rfam family: Bacterial small subunit ribosomal RNA
Source: RNAcentral